Molecule: ribosomal RNA, 748 nt
Filed under: uncultured Ruminococcus sp.
Lineage: Bacteria; Bacillati; Bacillota; Clostridia; Eubacteriales; Oscillospiraceae
Description: bacterial SSU rRNA
Rfam family: Bacterial small subunit ribosomal RNA
Source: RNAcentral
GAUGAACGCUGGCGGCGUGCCUAACACAUGCAAGUCGAGCGAAGCACUUUGCUUAGAUUCUUCGGAUGAAGAGGAUUGUGACUGAGCGGCGGACGGGUGAGUAACGCGUGGGUAACCUGCCUCAUACAGGGGGAUAACAGUUAGACAUGACUGCUAAUACCGCAUAAGACCACAGCACCGCAUGGUGCGGGGGUAAAAACUCCGGUGGUAUGAGAUGGACCCGCGUCUGAUUAGCUAGUUGGUAAGGUAACGGCUUACCAAGGCGACGAUCAGUAGCCGACCUGAGAGGGUGACCGGCCACAUUGGGACUGAGACACGGCCCAAACUCCUACGGGGGGCAGCAGUGGGGAAUAUUGCACAAUGGGGGAAACCCUGAUGCAGCGACGCCGCGUGAGCGAAGAAGUAUUUCGGUAUGUAAAGCUCUAUCAGCAGGGAAGAAAAUGACGGUACCUGACUAAGAAGCACCGGCUAAAUACGUGCCAGCAGCCGCGGUAAUACGUAUGGUGCAAGCGUUAUCCGGAUUUACUGGGUGUAAAGGGAGCGUAGACGGAUGGGCAAGUCUGAUGUGAAAACCCGGGGCUCAACCCCGGGACUGCAUUGGAAACUGUUCAUCUAGAGUGCUGGAGAGGUAAGUGGAAUUCCUAGUGUAGCGGUGAAAUGCGUAGAUAUUAGGAGGAACACCAGUGGCGAAGGCGGCUUACUGGACAGUAACUGACGUUGAGGCUCGAAAGCGUGGGGAGCAGACAGG